UGCAAGUCGAGCGCACUGGCCCAACUGAUAUGACGUGCUUGCACUGAAUUGACGUUGGAUUACCAGUGAGCGGCGGACGGGUGAGUAACACGUGGGCAACCUGCCCUGAAGUGGGGGAUAACAUCUGGAAACAGGUGCUAAUACCGCAUAACAACGAAAACCACAUGGUUUUCGUUUCAAAGAUGGUUUCGGCUAUCACUUCAGGAUGGGCCCGCGGUGCAUUAGCUAGUUGGUAAGGUAACGGCUUACCAAGGCAAUGAUGCAUAGCCGAGUUGAGAGACUGAUCGGCCACAAUGGAACUGAGACACGGUCCAUACUCCUACGGGAGGCAGCAGUAGGGAAUCUUCCACAAUGGGCGCAAGCCUGAUGGAGCAACACCGCGUGAGUGAAGAAGGGUUUCGGCUCGUAAAGCUCUGUUGUUGGAGAAGAACGUGCGUGAGAGUAACUGUUCACGCAGUGACGGUAUCCAACCAGAAAGUCACGGCUAACUACGUGCCAGCAGCCGCGGUAAUACGUAGGUGGCAAGCGUUAUCCGGAUUUAUUGGGCGUAAAGCGAGCGCAGGCGGUUGCUUAGGUCUGAUGUGAAAGCCUUCGGCUUAACCGAAGAAGGGCAUCGGAAACCGGGCGACUUGAGUGCAGAAGAGGACAGUGGAACUCCAUGUGUAGCGGUGGAAUGCGUAGAUAUAUGGAAGAACACCAGUGGCGAA
This 707-nucleotide ribosomal RNA is filed under the name Lactobacillus sp. L656(LBF2)H03. RNAcentral's name for it is "bacterial SSU rRNA". It matches the Rfam family "Bacterial small subunit ribosomal RNA", at positions 56 to 719 of the family's 1533-position model. The record is from RNAcentral. Lineage: Bacteria; Bacillati; Bacillota; Bacilli; Lactobacillales; Lactobacillaceae.